This 1398-nucleotide ribosomal RNA is filed under the name Oxalobacteraceae bacterium dv5. RNAcentral's name for it is "16S ribosomal RNA". It matches the Rfam family "Bacterial small subunit ribosomal RNA". The record is from RNAcentral. Lineage: Bacteria; Pseudomonadati; Pseudomonadota; Betaproteobacteria; Burkholderiales; Oxalobacteraceae.
AGUCGAACGGCAGCACGGGUGCUUGCACCUGGUGGCGAGUGGCGAACGGGUGAGUAAUAUAUCGGAACGUACCCUAGAGUGGGGGAUAACGCAGCGAAAGUUGCGCUAAUACCGCAUACGAUCUACGGAUGAAAGUGGGGGAUCGCAAGACCUCAUGCUCAUGGAGCGGCCGAUAUCUGAUUAGCUAGUUGGUGGGGUAAAAGCCUACCAAGGCAUCGAUCAGUAGCUGGUCUGAGAGGACGACCAGCCACACUGGAACUGAGACACGGUCCAGACUCCUACGGGAGGCAGCAGUGGGGAAUUUUGGACAAUGGGCGCAAGCCUGAUCCAGCAAUGCCGCGUGAGUGAAGAAGGCCUUCGGGUUGUAAAGCUCUUUUGUCAGGGAAGAAACGGUGAGGGCUAAUAUCCUUUGCUAAUGACGGUACCUGAAGAAUAAGCACCGGCUAACUACGUGCCAGCAGCCGCGGUAAUACGUAGGGUGCAAGCGUUAAUCGGAAUUACUGGGCGUAAAGCGUGCGCAGGCGGUUAUGUAAGUCAGAUGUGAAAUCCCCGGGCUCAACCUGGGAAUGGCAUUUGAGACUGCAUGGCUAGAGUGUGUCAGAGGGGGGUAGAAUUCCACGUGUAGCAGUGAAAUGCGUAGAGAUGUGGAGGAAUACCGAUGGCGAAGGCAGCCCCCUGGGAUAACACUGACGCUCAUGCACGAAAGCGUGGGGAGCAAACAGGAUUAGAUACCCUGGUAGUCCACGCCCUAAACGAUGUCUACUAGUUGUCGGGACUUAAUUGUCUUGGUAACGCAGCUAACGCGUGAAGUAGACCGCCUGGGGAGUACGGUCGCAAGAUUAAAACUCAAAGGAAUUGACGGGGACCCGCACAAGCGGUGGAUGAUGUGGAUUAAUUCGAUGCAACGCGAAAAACCUUACCUACCCUUGACAUGUACGGAACCUCUGAGAGAUUAGAGGGUGCUCGAAAGAGAGCCGUAACACAGGUGCUGCAUGGCUGUCGUCAGCUCGUGUCGUGAGAUGUUGGGUUAAGUCCCGCAACGAGCGCAACCCUUGUCAUUAGUUGCUACGAAAGGGCACUCUAAUGAGACUGCCGGUGACAAACCGGAGGAAGGUGGGGAUGACGUCAAGUCCUCAUGGCCCUUAUGGGUAGGGCUUCACACGUCAUACAAUGGUACAUACAGAGGGCCGCCAACCCGCGAGGGGGAGCUAAUCCCAGAAAGUGUAUCGUAGUCCGGAUUGUAGUCUGCAACUCGACUACAUGAAGUUGGAAUCGCUAGUAAUCGCGGAUCAGCAUGUCGCGGUGAAUACGUUCCCGGGUCUUGUACACACCGCCCGUCACACCAUGGGAGCGGGUUUCACCAGAAGUAGGUAGCCUAACCGCAAGGAGGGCGCUACC